AUUGAACGCUGGCGGCAUGCUUUACACAUGCAAGUCGAACGGGUGAAGGGGCAACUCUUCAUUCAGUGGCGAACGGGUGAGUAAUGCAUCGGAACGUACCUCGUAGUGGGGAGUAACUCGGCGAAAGCCGUGCUAAUACCGCAUAUGCUCUACGGAGGAAAGCAGGGGACCGUGAGAGGGCCUUGUUGCUAUGGGAGCGGCCGAUGUCCGAUUAGCUAGUUGGUGGGGUAA
RNAcentral lists this ribosomal RNA (231 nucleotides) under uncultured bacterium. RNAcentral describes it as "partial 16S ribosomal RNA". It matches the Rfam family "Bacterial small subunit ribosomal RNA", at positions 30 to 260 of the family's 1533-position model. The record is from RNAcentral.